RNAcentral lists this ribosomal RNA (482 nucleotides) under uncultured bacterium. RNAcentral's name for it is "partial 16S ribosomal RNA". It matches the Rfam family "Bacterial small subunit ribosomal RNA", at positions 30 to 507 of the family's 1533-position model. The record is from RNAcentral.
AUUGAACGCUGGCGGCAUGCCUUACACAUGCAAGUCGAACGGUAACAGGUCUUCGGAUGCUGACGAGUGGCGAACGGGUGAGUAAUACAUCGGAACGUGCCCGAUCGUGGGGGAUAACGAAGCGAAAGCUUUGCUAAUACCGCAUACGAUCUACGGAUGAAAGCAGGGGACCGCAAGGCCUUGCGCGAACGGAGCGGCCGAUGGCAGAUUAGGUAGUUGGUGGGAUAAAAGCUUACCAAGCCGACGAUCUGUAGCUGGUCUGAGAGGACGACCAGCCACACUGGGACUGAGACACGGCCCAGACUCCUACGGGAGGCAGCAGUGGGGAAUUUUGGACAAAGGGCGAAAGCCUGAUCCAGCCAUGCCGCGUGCAGGAUGAAGGCCUUCGGGUUGUAAACUGCUUUUGUACGGAACGAAAAGACUCUGGUUAAUACCUGGGGUCCAUGACGGUACCGUAAGAAUAAGCACCGGCUAACUACGUG